AUUAUCAUGGAAAAAAUUUCUUAUCUCUACCACCUUGAUCUUUCUUGAUCUUGAGGUCUUCUGUUUCAAAUUUCCUUUUAAAGGUUUUGUUUUUGUUUGGCUUGCCUUUGCUUUGGUUGGAGCUUUUCUCCUUCCAUGUACAAUGGCUCAUUCUACUUGAGGAGCUUUUGUCAUGGACACAAAAUACAGACUUGAAAUCUAACAAGAAGUUCAAGAAGAAGUGGCAAAACUAGAUUAAACAGAUGAGUACAAGAACAACACCAGAAAGGUGAGCUAGAACUCCAAGAGAUGUGUUGUCGAGACUGAAGAACUCUUCAGCCUCGAUCCCUAUAUAUACUCCUACUUAUGAAGCUUCUCGAGCUACUUCUAUUAACUAAGAAGCUUCUAGAAGGUUCCAG
This 398-nucleotide long non-coding RNA is filed under the name Physcomitrium patens. RNAcentral describes it as "long non-coding RNA (PPAT_LNC011808)". The record is from RNAcentral. Lineage: Eukaryota; Viridiplantae; Streptophyta; Bryopsida; Funariales; Funariaceae.